Molecule: ribosomal RNA, 253 nt
Filed under: uncultured bacterium
Lineage: Bacteria
Description: partial 16S ribosomal RNA
Rfam family: Bacterial small subunit ribosomal RNA
Source: RNAcentral
UACGAAGGGGGCUAUCGUUGUUCGGAAUCACUGGGCGUAAAGCGCACGUAGGCGGAUUAUUAAGUCAGAGGUGAAAUCCCGGAGCUCAACUUCGGAACUGCCUUUGAUACUGGCAAUCUCGAGUCUGGAAGAGGUUGGUGGAACUGCGAGUGUAGAGGUGAAAUUCGUAGAUAUUCGCAAGAACACCAGUGGCGAAGGCGGCCAACUGGUCCAGUACUGACGCUUAGGUGCGAAAGCGUGGGGAGAGAACAGG